GACGAACGCUGGCGGCGUGCUUAACACAUGCAAGUCGAACGGAAAGGCCCUGCUUUUGUGGGGUGCUCGAGUGGCGAACGGGUGAGUAACACGUGAGUAACCUGCCCUUGACUUUGGGAUAACUUCAGGAAACUGGGGCUAAUACCGGAUAGGAGCUCCUGCUGCAUGGUGGGGGUUGGAAAGUUUCGGCGGUUGGGGAUGGACUCGCGGCUUAUCAGCUUGUUGGUGGGGUAGUGGCUUACCAAGGCUUUGACGGGUAGCCGGCCUGAGGGGGUGACCGGCAACAUUGGGACUGAGAUACGGCCCAGACUCCUACGGGAGGCAGCAGUGGGGAAUAUUGCGCAAUGGGCGGGAGCCUGAUGCAGCAACGCCGCGUGCGGGAUGACGGCCUUCGGGUUGUAAACCGCGUUCGCCUGUGACGAAGCGUGAUUGACGGUAAUGGGUAAAGAAGCACCGGCUAACUACGUG
RNAcentral lists this ribosomal RNA (468 nucleotides) under uncultured bacterium. RNAcentral's name for it is "partial 16S ribosomal RNA". It matches the Rfam family "Bacterial small subunit ribosomal RNA", at positions 28 to 507 of the family's 1533-position model. The record is from RNAcentral.